Long non-coding RNA from Mauremys mutica (yellowpond turtle), 909 nucleotides. RefSeq lists it as uncharacterized. Lineage: Eukaryota; Metazoa; Chordata; Testudines; Geoemydidae. The transcript has 3 exons. The record is from RefSeq and is a predicted model, not a curated record.
UGGCCGUAUUAGAGGGCUGGAUGACAAUUUCAAGGUUACAGUUUGGGGUUUUGCAUUCUGAGACAAGGAAAAUCAAUCCUAAUCUACAGAGGGACUGAAUUGCAAAUGUCAGAGUGCAAAGGGCUUGAGCCUGGCAGAUGAGAACCAGAGCCAUUCGCAUGUUUAAUGCCAUCAACAACAGAAAGGGGAAAACAAAAAGGAAGCAAUCCUGCAAGAUGUGAAGUAUCCUUAGCUCCCUGUAGUGAGGCGGAGUGGCCUCCCACUGACCCAGAGUGGGAAAGAGGCCACUUUCUGAGCCCAGGUGAGCAGAUCCAGUCUGUGCCCGCCCACCCCUCCCAUCAGAAGGAAGGAGGCGGACAGGAAAUAUAAAGGGUGGGUCCUGGAGCUCAGUUGUGCUGCAGCCGCUGAAGGAUAUAGAUGCUUCCUGCCCGCUCCUGGAGACCAUAGAGAAGCCCUGUCAAGCUUAAGAUUGGCCAGACCUGCUGUAGCCACCAGCCAACCAAGGCACUGAGGACUUGCUGGGACUACCGCUAGCCAUCUACCCUCAGGAAACAGAGGACCCCCCCAGAUCCAGGUGCACCCCGAGGGGAGGGGAGGAAGUGGCCCAGGGACAGCUGACCCCAGUCUGGCUGCAUUGCCGCUAGAAACCCGGUCAGCGUGUUGCGACUGGGUUCUCUGCUGACACGGUGGCGGAACGCUCCACUGCUGUUAAGGUCCUGGGCUGGGACCUGGUGGAGUCAGGUGGGUCCAGGCCCCGCUGCAACCCUGCCCCUGGGGUGGCUGCCUCCCCACUUUAGGCUGUGAGGCCUGUGUUUGUCUGCUGUCUACCUGAGACAAGAUGUCUGACAAUAGACUGCCUACUGCUCUGCCCUGCCUCAGAGGUCAGAGAAACCUUAGACUGUUGGGUGC